UAGGGAAUCUUCGGCAAUGGACGAAAGUCUGACCGAGCAACGCCGCGUGAGUGAAGAAGGUUUUCGGAUCGUAAAACUCUGUCGGUAGAGAAGAACGUUGGUGAGAGUGGAAAGCUCAUCAAGUGACGGUAACUACCCAGAAAGGGACGGCUAACUACGUGCCAGCAGCCGCGGUAAUACGUAGGGUCCCGAGCGUUGUCCGGAUUUAUUGGGCG
This 215-nucleotide ribosomal RNA is filed under the name uncultured bacterium. RNAcentral's name for it is "partial 16S ribosomal RNA". It matches the Rfam family "Bacterial small subunit ribosomal RNA", at positions 355 to 560 of the family's 1533-position model. The record is from RNAcentral.